This 502-nucleotide ribosomal RNA is filed under the name uncultured bacterium. RNAcentral's name for it is "bacterial SSU rRNA". It matches the Rfam family "Bacterial small subunit ribosomal RNA", at positions 15 to 518 of the family's 1533-position model. The record is from RNAcentral.
GAUCCUGGCUUAGGAUGAACGCUGGCGGCGUGCCUAACACAUGCAAGUCGAACGGGGUUUAUAAUAUGAAGUUUCGGACGGAAUAUUGUAAACCUAGUGGCGGACGGGUGAGUAACGCGUGGGCAACCUGCCCCAUACAGGGGGAUAACAGCCGGAAACGGCUGCUAAAACCGCAUGAAACUGCGCUGCCGCAUGGCGGUGCAGCCAAAUAUUUAUAGGUAUGGGAUGGGCCCGCGUCUGAUUAGCUAGUUGGUAAGGUAACGGCCUACCAAGGCGACGAUCAGUAGCCGGCUUGAGAGAGUGACCGGCCACAUUGGGACUGAGACACGGCCCAAACUCCUACGGGAGGCAGCAGUGGGGAAUAUUGCACAAUGGGGGAAACCCUGAUGCAAGCGACGCCGCGUGAGUGAAGAAGUAUUUCGGUAUGUAAAGCUCUAUCAGCAGGGAAGAUAAUGACGGUACCUGACUAAGAAGCCCCGGCUAACUACGUGCCAGCCGCGGC